Molecule: long non-coding RNA, 597 nt
Filed under: Homo sapiens (human)
Lineage: Eukaryota; Metazoa; Chordata; Mammalia; Primates; Hominidae
Description: non-protein coding lnc-C8orf88-1:2
Source: RNAcentral
AAUUCAUGAAAGCUGAGCAAAUUAAAGAUGAGUCUUUAAAGAUAACACAAAAAGUUCCCAGCCAAGAUGGACGAAUAGGAACAACUCUGGUCUGCAGUUCCCAGUGAGACCAAUGCAGAAGGAGGAGGAUGAAGCUCAGAAAGUUCAGUUGACCUGAGAAAAGUCACACAGACAGUGACUAGCAAAACUGCAAGCGGACUAAUACUUACCUGAUUCGAAGUCUCCUGAUGGUUUUGCUAUGCCUCCACGUAGAAUGCCUAUCCAUUGCAAUUCCCUGCCUCAGGGACCAGUGGAAGAAGGGUGAGAGCAAAGAAUUGGAAAGAGAAGAUGUUGGCUUUCCUCUUUUCUAUCUGCAAGACCCCUGCCUAGACAUAUCUGUGUGGUCACAGAAUCUCAAGGCAGAAGAAUUUUUCUUAGUACAUAACAAAAUGGAGUCUCCUAUGUCUACUUCUUUCUACACAGACACAGUAACAAUCUGAUCUCUCUUGCUUUUCCCCACAUAUACAACCAGAAAACAUGCAUUGAAAAUAACAAUUGAAUGAAAUCCCUUUAUAAAAUGUUUAAUUGGCCAACCAGGUGACCAAAUGUACCUGAAGC